GGGGCCGACUGGUUUUGACAGCGAGACCAGUGGCGAUGUAAGCAUGCCGAGCGCUGGGAUACAGCUCGUAAAUCUCAUGACUCAACUUUUUUAAAUGGCGAGUCUAACUACGCUUUAGCUGCCUAACGGACUGAAUUACAGUAAGUCUUGGCCUAGUCCCGCAAGGCGGGAAAGCUAAAUGUCCCCGGGUAGCCCUUGUUGACGGCGACCCUUCCGGGGGCACCAUAAAAGUCAACAUAGUGCCAACAGGGCUUCAAUGUUGGCAUAAACCUUAAGAAGCUAAGUGCGUAAUGGGCGGUUUUUGGUCAGUUGCGCGCCGACAAUCAAACAAAAACUAAGCAUGUAGAAAGCAUGGUCAUUGCUUGUUUGGACGGGAGUUCGAUUCUCCCCGGCUCCACAA
Molecule: transfer-messenger RNA, 400 nt
Filed under: Flavobacteriaceae
Lineage: Bacteria; Pseudomonadati; Bacteroidota; Flavobacteriia; Flavobacteriales
Also listed under: 3 other names
Description: Robiginitalea sp006227965 Standard tmRNA
Rfam family: transfer-messenger RNA
About the family: Bacterial tmRNA, also known as 10Sa RNA or SsrA, is named for its dual tRNA and mRNA-like properties. Its role is to liberate the mRNA from a stalled ribosome.
Source: RNAcentral